RNAcentral lists this ribosomal RNA (440 nucleotides) under uncultured bacterium. RNAcentral describes it as "partial 16S ribosomal RNA". It matches the Rfam family "Bacterial small subunit ribosomal RNA", at positions 338 to 795 of the family's 1533-position model. The record is from RNAcentral.
CCUACGGGUGGCAGCAGUGAGGAAUAUUGCACAAUGGUGGUAAGACUGAACCAGCGACGUCGCGUGCACGAUGAAGGAUCUCGGGGUGUAAAACUCUAUCUACACGGAGGAAAAUGACGUUACGUGAGUAGGUAGCUACGGCUAAAUACGUUCCAGCAGCCGCGAUACUACGGCGGGAGCAGGCGUAAUCCGGAUUUACUGGGCGUUAAGGGGGCGUAUGCGGCCUGCUAAGUCUGUCGUGAAAUUCCGUGGCGCAACCCUGGGACUGCAGGGGAAACUGGCAGGCUGGAGUGCGUGGAAGGUAGGCGGAAUUCGUGGUGUAGCGGUGAAAUGCGGAGAUAUCAGGAGGAACACCGGUGGCGAAGGCGGCCUGCGGGACGGUGACUGACGCUGAGGCUCGAAGGCGUGGGGAGCAAACAGGAUUAGAUACCCCUGUAGUC